Molecule: transfer RNA, 70 nt
Filed under: Molannodes epaphos
Lineage: Eukaryota; Metazoa; Arthropoda; Insecta; Trichoptera; Molannidae
Description: tRNA-Lys
Source: RNAcentral
CAUUAAAUAUCUAAAUGUAAGAUGUGGCCUCUUAAGCCUAAAAUAGUAAAUUAACAAAUACUUUUAAUGA